AUCUCUACUCUCCCUGGCUCCAGGAGAUAAAAAGAAGAACGUGGGUCUCCACACAGAAAUGACCUCCAUGAGGUCUGACACUCUCCAGCACUGCAGCAGAGGAGAGAGCCUGAGGGGGAAUCCCAGAGCGGCAGAAAUAGCAGUGCUUUAUCUGAAGUCCACAAAACCCAACAAUGCAUUCUUGGAAGACAAGAGCCAUGCUCGGGACAGGGAAGCUGAAGUCAAAGCUCAUGGGGCGGCCCUCCCUCCAUCAGGUGCUGUGGUGCCGAGACAACUUCUUAGUCUCUAUGGACCUCAGGUUCCUCAUCAGUGAGAUCCGGAGCUGAGUCCACAGCCUGAGAAGCCAGAACUGAAGGUGC
Lepus europaeus (European hare) is the source of this 359-nucleotide long non-coding RNA. RefSeq lists it as uncharacterized. The record is from RefSeq and is a predicted model, not a curated record. The transcript has 3 exons. Lineage: Eukaryota; Metazoa; Chordata; Mammalia; Lagomorpha; Leporidae.